AGUUGCCCAGGCUGGCCUCAAACCUGCAAUCCUCCUUCCUUAGCCUUCCAAGUCCCUGGGAUUACAGGUGGUCACUUCUCAUUUCCUUAUGAUAUGUUCCUUCUCGCUUCUCAUUCUUGACACUGUGAUCAACUUUUGCUGUUAGCAAGUAUGAUUAUCUGAAAUCAGCCUCCUGAGUCACUGGGAGUGCAGGUGUGCACCACCAUGUCGGACUGAAAGAAUAUUUUUCAAAUGCAAUG
RNAcentral lists this long non-coding RNA (239 nucleotides) under Urocitellus parryii (Arctic ground squirrel). Its description in RNAcentral is "lncRNA (ENSUPAG00010015244.1)". Lineage: Eukaryota; Metazoa; Chordata; Mammalia; Rodentia; Sciuridae. The record is from RNAcentral.